Molecule: small nucleolar RNA, 127 nt
Organism: Fukomys damarensis (Damara mole-rat)
Lineage: Eukaryota; Metazoa; Chordata; Mammalia; Rodentia; Bathyergidae
Source: Ensembl
GCAGACUCACUCUGCACUUGGCUGCAGCCUCCAGGCAGGUGCUUUUUCCGUCUGCCAGAGAACCUUUCCAGGGAGCUGUGGCAACCUUGAUCUUUUGGGGGUGAUGCAGCUUUCUGGGCACAUAGAA